This is a long non-coding RNA of Dromaius novaehollandiae (emu), 7819 nucleotides long. RefSeq lists it as uncharacterized. The transcript is spliced from 4 exons. The record is from RefSeq and is a predicted model, not a curated record. NCBI's taxonomy places the organism in Eukaryota, Metazoa, Chordata, Aves, Casuariiformes, Dromaiidae.
UGCACCAGCAGUGAGACAUAGAGGUAGCUACCGUAUGUGCUGGAGGGGCAGCUCCCUGGCACGGGAGGACUUUGUGCGUGUGCUGGCUUGUACAAACCAAGCUAGUCCUGGCCUAAGCUGUUGCAAGAGGUGUGAGUAGUCCAGGCCUGUGUCUAGAGAUGGGACAUUUCUCUGAAGACUCUGAAGCAUCAUCAUUUCAGCUGCUUCUUCCCAACUCACACAGCAGUCCCUUCUGGUGAAAAAUGGUCUUUGGUGAGGUCAUCUGCAGAGCAAGGAAGAGGAUGGCACAAUGAUGACAAGAAAAAGGAAAGAAUGCUUGUACCAAUUUUCAGAAACCAAACAGAGGCAAAACUUCCGGAGGCCAGAAUGAUUUGCUAGACACUUAUUUCUGCUAAAGGCCAAGGAUGAAGUGAAACAACAAGGUUUCAUCACUGUGAUGCUUAAGUGGGAAACAAGAACAGAGGCUUCUUUGUGGAGUGGUAUCCAUUCCUUUGGUAGCCGUUCAGCAACAAGGGCUCGCAUUCACACAAACCCUCCGUGUGUGACAAGCACCAUCUUGGCCAACAGACCAGAGUCACAGCCAGGGCUGGUCUUGCUGGGGCUCCAUCAGCCUCUUAUCUUUUGUGAAACAAGUGCAGAGGGCACCCAGAGUAUGUGCAUGAUAAUUGCUUAUCUUGGGCAGAACAAUUACGGCACAUAAAGGCUGGGACUUGGUGAGGAAUCUGGAUAGAAGACUUCUCAGGCAGGAGGUCUUUUGGGGAUACAUUAAGAAUGAAAAUGGUAUAAUGUCAGAACUACUUCUGAUACUCUGUAGAUGGCUAGAAAGGACUAGUGGUUUAUUAAAAGUAUUCAUUUUUUAUAUCUUACAUUGUUUCAUCUAAAAAGACUCAAUCGUGCUGAUGGACACACUUAGUAGCAGAUCAGUGUAGCUGUGUGUUCCCUUCACUGUUUUCCUCACGCUUUUUCUCCCAUUUCUUCUUGUUGUACAUCAUUUUCAGCAUACCCCAGUUCUCUGACUGGCUCCUGCCCAGGGGCCAGCCCAGGAACAAACUGUAGGUGCAAGGCCACAGAUAGGAAACUGCCAGGAAAACAUCUCUUAUACUUUUGCAGUAACUGCAACACAGUGGGACUGCGUUCCUGUGCAGGUCUUCUGAAUCCACUAUAGCAAUGACCACUACAUUUCUAACUUUUUAAAGUUAUGGUUCCGUUUCCCUAAAUAACAGAAGCUUUUGCAUAGCCAACUUUUUAGUUAUUUUCUUAGGAGAAUCAUUGUUACCAGCUUCUUUUCCGCCUGAGACUGUUUGUUAUUGAUAGAUCAAGUAGGCAUAGUGUGUUCUCGGCAUCCUUUAGAAGCCUUGUAUUUCUUCAGACCUUCAGCUUCCUUUUUCACCUAUUUUUAAACUGGCUGGUUUACAGUUAGUGGAAGAACUCAGCAGGAGUUUUAAUAAACAUUUAUCAGGAUAAAAUAUUUUCCCAUCUGUCUGCACACUAUUGUUGGGCUGUGCAUUCCUUUAUCCGUAAUUGCGACAUACUGCAGGAGAUCUGGCCCUCUAUCAUGUUGUACCUUUUGUGGACAUUUUGAUCAGGACAAAGCAAGAGAAAAGUCCAAUACUUAAGCAGCUCCUGCCUCCUUGUUCCCACUCUUCUGCUUCUACUUUACCUGUGUCAGUGCAGCUGUUUGUAGGGUCAUGCUAUUAACUGAGUGGUGUUAAAAAUAACUGGGUUUACCAAUUUAUUUUUAACCUGGGUCAGUUAGUUGACCUAUUUUAACCUGCAGCCCAUAAGCAAUUGUACCUGCAAAACUGAAAGGCCGACAUGGAGCAGGAACAACCGAAAGGCAAAAGAAGGAGGGAAGAGUCUCUUUUUUAAUCUGAUUUUACUGCCGAAAGAAAAGUUCAUCCCCUUACAGCCUGAACACAAAGCAGAGCCAUUUUGAUGUGGUAGUAUUCGCUCUCCCUUUGGUAGGUAUAAAUGCCAUUACAGCUUCUGUAUGUGCAUUACACUUUUGUAUUGCAGUGAAUUAUCAGAUUUGUAAUUCCUUAUUUUUGAGUAAGGGUGGAUCUAUGACUGAAGGGGCUCCCAGUGCAAUGAUCAUUGAGAUUAUGAGCUCACUGAGGGUUAUCCUGAGGCAAACUAGGGGUGAAUAUUCUGGACAAAAGCUGCCCUGUAGUAGUUUCCCCUGCACAUGCUCUUGCACAGUAAUCCAAGGUAACAUACCCCCUAACUAAAAGAGAGUUAAGCUCUCUCUUGUAUAAUGACAGGUAAGAGUUUGCCAUAAGCAAUUUUCACAGUGUAGUUGAUUUACUAUAAAUUCACACAGUAACUUAUGUAACAAUAAGCUAUUCAUGUGCCAUUACCCUCACUGAGCAGCAGGCAGUAUAGCCUGAGGGCAUCUCUACACAUUAAGGUCACUUUAGAAUACAGCAGUAUGUGAAAAUAAGGCAGAAUAGCUACAUCAGGUUGAUGCCACAGGUCCCUCUCAUUCCCAGUAAAUAUGCUACUGAUGUUGUUCACUGAAAAAUGAAUUAAGGUAAGACAGGACAUUCUUACUCACAUAAAGAAUCCCAGAACAGAAUUUUUCUGAGCUGCUAUGCAAAAUUAUUUUUUCUGUGAAAUAGCCUAAGUUUUAGGAGCUAUCAUGCCUUCCAAGCUUGUGAGCCUAUUGCAAUAUCACCUUUUAGAAAGAAGAUAACAGACAGCCUUCAGCCCUAAAAUGAAUCAGCCUGCUAGCUGUCUAGGAAUAUUUGGAGGAAAGGGAAAAUGAGAAUGGAUCUGGCCCCGUAAAGCUGUACUUUCCCCUUUUUUCAUAUCAGCUGAGUGUAGAUAGGCACUGAAAAAGUUAAUUCACUACUGAGAUUUAAGGCAGACAAACCAUAAGCAUUUGGAUACAACAGUGGUUAGACUUGAAAUUCAAGACUGCUUUCUUUUUCUCUGUCAAUGACCACAGCUGUCAUUUCAGCUUCAGACUGCUAAACAAACACUCUCUCCCUUUUACCUAUCAAAAAUCAAAAGCUUAACAGCUGUUUAACCUUAUCUGCUAAUUCCAUUGGGAAAUACUGCAAAGUUUUGUUCACAGGUAUUGUUUACUUUGCUCCCUGACUAGAAACUAGAAAAUACAUUUUUAAUAUCUAGACUGUGUGCUCAUUAAGAGCAAUUAGUCAUCAAGAAGUCAGUGUUUAAACACAGGCCUCACAAUGACAUAAUCACAAAUAAGAAAUCUGCCAUUAUAGAAAGACAGCAUUUUUAGCAUAACUUUUCCCAAAUAAGAACAUCAUGUCCUGUGCUACCGUACUUUCAAUUUAAAAGGUGAUGGGGAAUAGAGUUCACUGCAAUUAUUUCCUGAUUAUCUUGGGAAUGUAUUGUUAAACUUCUUAGAUUCUUGGGUUAAAGAAUGGUUCUGUCUACAAUAUUCAAUAGUGACUGCUCAAAAAGUGGCCCACAUUUAGCAAGGACAUUUUAAUAGAUCCAAAGAGCCUGAAAGCAAAAAAAAAAAAAAAAAAAAAAAAAAAAAAAAAAAAAAGAAAGAAAGAAAGAAAAAGAAAUAAUGUGGGAGCAAAUUCUGAUGAUAUUUAACAAGACUCCUGCGGUCAGUUAAUCUUCUUUCCCAUAGGACUCGCUUUCACCAGAAAAAAUACCUCCCUUAGCAGCUAUGAAUUAAUGCAUUUUUGAUUGUGACCUGUCAGUCAGAGUAGAAAUGGGCAAGUUAUUUUCAUCAUUAUGUAGUUGAUCUUGGCUAAACUCCACUUACAGAAGUUUAUUCCCAGCCUGUUAACUAAUAAAGGCCAUGACUGCUAUCAGCAGCUGUGACUUCAUCUGGGAUUUAACUCCUUCUGAGUCAUAACUUUGGGUAUUAAUUAGCAUCAAGUUCAAACAGUAGCACACCUUACAGAUUUGUUUCCUGUGCAUUUAGGAAACACCUUCUGGUGUUUAAGACAUCGCAGCUCACAUUCCCUUUUUUUUCCACCCUCACACUAGAAUCCUCAAAACGGAAUGCUUGUCUCUAGCGCACCCAUUUCAUAUGUGUAGCAAGUUAGCUUAAAAACUUCCUAUGGAGGUAGGAUUAAGUUAAUCCAAUGCAUGUUGCCCUAGAGCAGUCGAGGGCUCUGAUUCAUGGUUCCUGUCAGUUUUGGCCAUAGCACCCACAGAUCCAGAGCCCGGAGCCACUGCAAUUCCAUGUGGAUUCAGGUAGAUACUAGUCUAUGUAGCACUAAGCUUUGAAUGAUUGCAGUUCAGGAUCAGACCUCCACAGAGCAGGGCAGACAGAUGGAGCAGUAAUCAUUUAAAUCACCCCAGUAUGAACUGGCAAAGCUCACAAGCGAGGGCCCUCAGCUGCAGGGACAUGCAUGGGACCAACUCUGUGCUGCCAGCCAUGCUGUGGGUGUGGGCCCUUCCAGGAAAGGAGUAGGGCUGAGAGCUGGAAAGUUAGCCGUCUUCAACCCCUGCAGCCACAUUCCCUCGAGUUCAUCUGGCAAUGCCCCCUGCCACGCCACAUCACAAGUAAGCAACCGCGCUGUGAGGUAAUGGCAAACCACAGGCUGGCUUGUCUCUCCUCUCCUCUCUCUCUCUCAAUCUCUCUCUUUUUUUUUUUUUGCUACGUCUGAAUUCCUGCAGUGAAUAUUUACAGCUGUGACCAAUGACAGCAAUCAACUGAUUCUUUGUAAGUCCUCAGGACCGUCCUUUCCUGCCAUAUCCUCGUGCUUCAUCCCAUGAUCACAAAUGAUCAGCCUUCAGAUAGCUCUAUUCUCUGUUCAGCUUCUACCAUUUCCAGUCUUCAGUAUAGGAGCAAGAAGAAUGCCUGUCAGGGAAAUCAUAUAUUAGUAUGUAGCCACCCGGACAAAUGUUGAUAACAAACAUAGUCAACAAACCAUUGGGCCCAAGUAAGCAAAGCUCCCUGAGUUGAGCUGCAUGAUUAACACUGUUCAGAAGCUGUGCUGAUCAGGGGAUUGACUGGACAUGACUGCAGUGGGCUGAAGCUGAGCUAUGAGAACUGCUGAGCCAAGGAUAUUAGUUAUAAGUCUAGCACAUGCUCCGUGACCUGUCUGCAAUUCUUUACGGGGACCACGAAGCGUGGCUCCUUCUUGUCAGCCAGGACUCACCUGAGGAGCUGGGGUGGGCACAGGCUCUGAGCCGGGCAGCGUGCAAGCACAGCUACCACAUCCUAGGUGAAUACUCUGCACAGAGCAGAUCUCCUACCUCAGAGUUAGGCUGCAAUGAAGACACAACAUCCCGUAUGCAGGCACUGAUAGUAUGACAGCAAAAAACAAGUACAGCAUGCUCAGUAUUUUAUUGUGGUCUGGCCUCUCUGCAAGUGUUAAUGACAAUCACUUAAAUUAGGAUAAAAUGUUUCAACUUCUACACUGAAGAAAAAUUGUGGCUCACUAUUCUGAUUAAAAUUUAGUCUCUUCCUAAUUUAGAUAAAUUUUACAAGAGUCUCAAAAGUUAGCCGUGAUCAACAAAAAUACUUUUAAUUGCUGAGAGAAGACACAUGAUCAUAAAAAUGUCCAAAUUAAAACAUGUUUUGAAGGGUAUUUUAAAAUGCAUAAAUAUACUUCAGGAUGUCUAGUUAAUGUGCAAGCCACUUCCUUGCUUCCUAAAGUUUCUAUCUGUGAACCUCUUUAUAGCAUAUAGCCUCCGACUUAUCUGCACUGUCUUAGUUUCACAGCUCAGUACUGCUUGUUGAGUGGUAAAUCAAACUGCAUCAUCAUGGCCACAAUUUCAGUUUAUUCCCGCAAAACAUUCAUUUUAUCAUAAUAUGGUCUGAUUUAUAUCAUUAUCUAUUUGUAUUCCAGUGUCAUGGUAUAAAAUUCUGAGCUGCUAUGGAGAAGAAAAACUUGUGGCAUUCUAUAAGUUGUUUCUGGAGGACUUAAGAUAAAUCACUUAACAUUUAUUGGGCCAGUUUGGGAAAUUAUCUUGAACCAACUGACCUAUAGGCAGCAUCAGAAAAAGAAAAUCAGAAUUAGUAUAGUUUAGGGGUGAAACACGUAAAGUAAUUAAUUCUGUUUUGCCAUAAGGCAGAUUUUGUUGAGAGAGAAACUGAGUAAUUUUAGAGCAAUGAUUCUCAAGCAGUGACUUGUAGACGAGUAAGUAAUGGCCAACAGGGCUCUGACAAAUGCAUAGAGCUGUUUAUAUGCACUAAUGGGGGUCUGAGUAACAAACUAUUGGCUUUAGAAAGAAUUAUUUACCAAGUGUAAUUCUCAGUAAGCAGAGCAAUUAAUUGCAAAGAUUUGUCUUUAGUCACAGCUAAACUUACCUUUUAGUUUCCUCCCAUUCUUUACUGAUAAUACGCAGUCAGCAACUAUGCUACGGCUGGGGAACAUCUUGGUGUCAGCAAGUUAGAUGCAAAUUAGAGAAAGAAUAGUAAGAACUGAAGGUUGGAAUUUUCAAGAAAGCCUCAGAAAGUUUGUGGAACAACUGAUAUACUUAGCAUUUGUACAAAUAUAACUAUCUGAGCUAGCAGAAUGAUUUUUUAAAAUUAUAAUACUGACAUUUGUACAACACCUUGUUUGGCAUAUACAAAUAUUAGUAUUCAAACUAGUAUGUAUCUGUACUCAGUGUUGGGGAAAAGGUCCUAGCAUAGGACCUUUGGAAAAACAAAGCUUGGAAAAACAAUCUGAUAUUCAGAAUCAUAGAAUAAUUUAGGUUGGAAGGGUCCCUUGGAGGUCAUCUAGUCCAACCUCCUGCUCCAAAGCAUGUCCAACAAAAGCAGGUUGCUCAGGACCUUGUCUAGACUAGGUCAGUUUACCCCUACACUAACAAAAAGAGAAAAAAAUAAAUGCCAACAUAGUCUCCUGAACUUCCAGGAAAGGCCAGUGUGGUACAGUAUUCAUUCUACAGAGGUCUCUUUUGAACAUUGCUUAUGCUACCAUAGCAUGCUUUAAAUACGGGGCUCUUCUAGACCUGCAGUUAUAUAUUUAGACCAAAUGGCUAAGGUUGCUACUGUUCCUCCCUCUUCCCCAUCCCUUUGCUGGAUGAGAUGGGGACAUCUCUUGAUUUCAUGAAUCAGCUCUUGAGCUCCCUCCCCCUCUUCCCUGCUUUUAAGCUCAGCUUGUUAAGAUGAAGCAAAUCCUAUCUGGUUAUUGUAAUACCUCAAGCUGAAACCUGUCGGAGAGAUUGCCCCCAGAUGGCUGGGGGCAAUAACAGCUGCAGCUGUACUUUUAACGUACAGCUGCAUGUCUGUUCAUAUGCAAAGGCUAUAGACCAAAGUGUUCUUUGGGCCCACUUGGACUGGUUGAAGGAGUUACUUCCUCAGCCUGUCCCCAGCUGCUUAUCACUCCACCACUGCUGGAGGGUGCUUAUCUGUCAGAUCCAUGAGACUUUGUGCCUGGACUGCACCCUAACUGUCUCAGUAAUAUCUGCCAGAAUCAGAAAGUCCUACUCUUUUAACUCUCUAAUCUAUCUGUGGGCAAAUGAGAUGGUUACUGUUUACUUACACUAAUAUGAUUAAAACAAUACAGCUUUUUGUGUAGGUAAGGCCUAGAAUACUACUAUUCCCUUGGUAGUUCAAGCCCAACAGUAUGGGUUAAGAUGAUUCUUGUUUAAAAUUCCAUCUCAGUUUCUGGACAAUCCUGUCAUUUCUUAUCACUGUUUUAAAUAACGUACCUGAACUGUCAAACAUAUCAUUCACACUGUGUAAAUUUAACAUGUACACUGGACUUGUAACCUCCUGUCAAAAUGACAAAAGCUGUUGUGAUAGGAAGUGGCAAAGUUUUUCAGUAAUAUUGCUAAUGAUCGUCAUGUGUUAUGGUUUUUCAUGCAUGGAAAUAAAGCUACUGGUUUCUUCAGUUUGUGGCUGAAGUAUCACAGCAUCUAUUUAGUUCAA